AGAUUGAACGCUGGCGGCAGGCCUAACACAUGCAAGUCGAGCGGUAGAGAGGUGCUUGCACCUCUUGAGAGCGGCGGACGGGUGAGUAAUGCCUAGGAAUCUGCCUAGUGGUGGGGGAUAACGUUCGGAAACGGACGCUAAUACCGCAUACGUCCUACGGGAGAAAGCGGGGGACCUUCGGGCCUCGCGCCAUUAGAUGAGCCUAGGUCGGAUUAGCUAGUUGGUGAGGUAAUGGCUCACCAAGGCGACGAUCCGUAACUGGUCUGAGAGGAUGAUCAGUCACACUGGAACUGAGACACGGUCCAGACUCCUACGGGAGCAGCAGGUGGGGGAAUA
This 336-nucleotide ribosomal RNA is filed under the name uncultured soil bacterium. RNAcentral describes it as "bacterial SSU rRNA". It matches the Rfam family "Bacterial small subunit ribosomal RNA", at positions 26 to 364 of the family's 1533-position model. The record is from RNAcentral.